Molecule: ribosomal RNA, 970 nt
Filed under: Bacillus subtilis
Lineage: Bacteria; Bacillati; Bacillota; Bacilli; Caryophanales; Bacillaceae
Description: bacterial SSU rRNA
Rfam family: Bacterial small subunit ribosomal RNA
Source: RNAcentral
GCGGCGUGCUUAAUACAUGCAAGUCGAGCGGUUCCCGGGCCUUGUACACACCGCCCGUAGCGGCGGACGGGUGAGUAACACGUGGGUAACCUGCCUGUAAGACUGGGAUAACUCCGGGAAACCGGGGCUAAUACCGGAUGCUUGAUUGAACCGCAUGGUUCAAUCAUAAAAGGUGGCUUUUAGCUACCACUUACAGAUGGACCCGCGGCGCAUUAGCUAGUUGGUGAGGUAACGGCUCACCAAGGCGACGAUGCGUAGCCGACCUGAGAGGGUGAUCGGCCACACUGGGACUGAGACACGGCCCAGACUCCUACGGGAGGCAGCAGUAGGGAAUCUUCCGCAAUGGACGAAAGUCUGACGGAACAACGCCGCGUGAGUGAUGAAGGUUUUCGGAUCGUAAAACUCUGUUGUUAGGGAAGAACAAGUACCGUUCGAAUAGGGCGGUACCUUGACGGUACCUAACCAGAAAGCCACGGCUAACUACGUGCCAGCAGCCGCGGUAAUACGUAGGUGGCAAGCGUUGUCCGGAAUUAUUGGGCGUAAAGCGCGCGCAGGCGGUUUCUUAAGUCUGAUGUGAAAGCCCCCGGCUCAACCGGGGAGGGUCAUUGGAAACUGGGGAACUUGAGUGCAGAAGAGGAGAGUGGAAUUCCACGUGUAGCGGUGAAAUGCGUAGAGAUGUGGAGGAACACCAGUGGCGAAGGCGACUCUCUGGUCUGUAACUGACGCUGAGGCGCGAAAGCGUGGGGAGCGAACAGGAUUAGAUACCCUGGUAGUCCACGCCGUAAACGAUGAGUGCUAAGUGUUAGAGGGUUUCCGCCCUUUAGUGCUGCAGCAAACGCAUUAAGCACUCCGCCUGGGGAGUACGGUCGCAAGACUGAAACUCAAAGGAAUUGACGGGACGGGCCCGCACAAGCGGUGGAGCAUGUGGUUUAAUUCGAAGCAACGCGAAGAACCUUACCAGGUCUUGACA